This 495-nucleotide ribosomal RNA is filed under the name uncultured bacterium. RNAcentral describes it as "bacterial SSU rRNA". It matches the Rfam family "Bacterial small subunit ribosomal RNA", at positions 28 to 509 of the family's 1533-position model. The record is from RNAcentral.
GACGAACGCUGGCGGCGUGGAUUAGGCAUGCAAGUCGGACGGUAGGGCUUUAUCGUAAGAUAGAGUUUGAGAGUGGCGAACGGGUGAGUAACACGUAGGAAUCUACCCUUAAGACGGGGACAACCCAGGGAAACUUGGGCUAAUACCGGAUGAGAGUGCGAGAGAUUGCAUUUAAAAGGAUGGCGAAAGUUGUCGCUUAGGGAUGAGCCUGCGGUCUAUUAGUUAGUUGGUGAGGUAAGAGCUCACCAAGGCGAUGAUAGAUAGGCGGCCUUAACGGGUGGUCGCCCACACUGGGAUUGAGAUACGGCCCAGACUCCUACGGGAGGCAGCAGUCGAGAAUAGUCUACAAUGGCCGGAAGGCUGAUAGUGCGACGCCGCGUGAACGAUGAAUCCCUUCGGGUGUAAAGUUCUUUUAUAUGUGAGCAGUGCUUCUUAUAUUAACAGUAUGGGGAGAGAGAUAUUAGCAUAUGAAUAAGCAACGGCUAACUCCGUGCC